CCUACGGGAGGCAGCAGUGGGGAAUAUUGGACAAUGGGCGCAAGCCUGAUCCAGCCAUACCGCGUGUGUGAAGAAGGCCUUUUGGUUGUAAAGCACUUUAAGCGAGGAGGAGGGCACUUUGGCUAAUACCCGAAUGUGUCGGACGUUACUCGCAGAAUAAGCACCGGCUAACUCUGUGCCAGCAGCCGCGGUAAUACAGAGGGUGCGAGCGUUAAUCGGAAUUACUGGGCGUAAAGCGCGCGUAGGCGGCUUGUUAAGUCGGAUGUGAAAUCCCCGGGCUCAACCUGGGCACUGCAUUCGAUACUGGCAAGCUAGAGUAUGGGAGAGGAAGGUAGAAUUCCAGGUGUAGCGGUGAAAUGCGUAGAGAUCUGGAGGAAUACCGAUGGCGAAGGCAGCCUUCUGGCCUAAUACUGACGCUGAGGUGCGAAAGCAUGGGGAGCAAACAGGAUUAGAUACCCUGGUAGUCCAUGCCGUAAACGAUGUCAACUAGCCGUUGGGGACCUUGAGUCCUUAGUGGCGCAGCUAACGCGAUAAGUUGACCGCCUGGGGAGUACGGUCGCAAGACUAAAACGUCAAAGGAAUUGACGG
RNAcentral lists this ribosomal RNA (588 nucleotides) under uncultured bacterium. RNAcentral describes it as "bacterial SSU rRNA". It matches the Rfam family "Bacterial small subunit ribosomal RNA", at positions 338 to 916 of the family's 1533-position model. The record is from RNAcentral.